RNAcentral lists this ribosomal RNA (2919 nucleotides) under Acinetobacter baumannii. Its description in RNAcentral is "bacterial LSU rRNA". It matches the Rfam family "Bacterial large subunit ribosomal RNA". Lineage: Bacteria; Pseudomonadati; Pseudomonadota; Gammaproteobacteria; Moraxellales; Moraxellaceae. The record is from RNAcentral.
GUUGUAUAGUCAAGUAAUUAAGUGCAUGUGGUGGAUGCCUUGGCAGUCAGAGGCGAUGAAAGACGUGAUAGCCUGCGAAAAGCUCCGGGGAGGCGGCAAAUAUCCUUUGAUCCGGAGAUGUCUGAAUGGGGGAACCCACCUACUUUAAGGUAGGUAUUGCAACAUGAAUACAUAGUGUUGCAAGGCGAACGAGGGGAAGUGAAACAUCUCAGUACCCUUAGGAAAAGAAAUCAAUUGAGAUUCCCUCAGUAGCGGCGAGCGAACGGGGAUCAGCCCAUUAAGUUAUGUGUGUUUUAGUGGAACGCUCUGGGAAGUGCGAACGUAGAGGGUGAUAUUCCCGUACACGAAAGGGCACACAUAAUGAUGACGAGUAGGGCGAGGCACGUGAAACCUUGUCUGAAUAUGGGGGGACCAUCCUCCAAGGCUAAAUACUCCUGACUGACCGAUAGUGAACCAGUACCGUGAGGGAAAGGCGAAAAGAACCCCUGUGAGGGGAGUGAAAUAGAUCCUGAAACCGCAUGCAUACAAGCAGUGGGAGCACCUUCGUGGUGUGACUGCGUACCUUUUGUAUAAUGGGUCAGCGACUUAUAUUCAGUAGCGAGGUUAACCGUAUAGGGGAGCCGUAGAGAAAUCGAGUCUUAAUAGGGCGUUUAGUUGCUGGGUAUAGACCCGAAACCAGGCGAUCUAUCCAUGAGCAGGUUGAAGGUUGGGUAACACUAACUGGAGGACCGAACCCACUGUCGUUGAAAAGCCAGGGGAUGACUUGUGGAUAGGGGUGAAAGGCUAAUCAAGCCUGGUGAUAGCUGGUUCUCCCCGAAAGCUAUUUAGGUAGCGCCUCGGACGAAUACCAUAGGGGGUAGAGCACUGUUUCGGCUAGGGGGUCAUCCCGACUUACCAAACCGAUGCAAACUCCGAAUACCUAUGAGUACUAUCCGGGAGACAGACUGCGGGUGCUAACGUCCGUAGUCAAGAGGAAAACAAUCCAGACCGCCAGCUAAGGCCCCAAAAUCAUAGUUAAGUGGGAAACGAUGUGGGAAGGCAUAGACAGCUAGGAGGUUGGCUUAGAAGCAGCCACCCUUUAAAGAAAGCGUAAUAGCUCACUAGUCGAGUCGGCCUGCGCGGAAGAUGUAACGGGGCUAAAACUAUGUGCCGAAGCUGCGGAUGUAUACUUUGUAUACGUGGUAGGGGAGCGUUCUGUAAGCCGAUGAAGGUGUGUUGAGAAGCAUGCUGGAGGUAUCAGAAGUGCGAAUGCUGACGUGAGUAACGACAAAACGGGUGAAAAACCCGUUCGCCGAAAGACCAAGGGUUCCAGUCCAACGUUAAUCGGGGCUGGGUGAGUCGACCCCUAAGGCGAGGCCGAAAGGCGUAGUCGAUGGGAAAAUGGUUAAUAUUCCAUUACUUCUGUGUAAUGCGAUGAGAGGACGGAGAAGGCUAAAUCAGCCUGGCGUUGGUUGUCCAGGUGAAAGGAUGUAGGCAUGUAUCUUAGGCAAAUCCGGGGUACUCUAUGCUGAGAUCUGAUAGCAAGCUGUACUUGUACAGCGAAGUGGUUGAUGCCAUGCUUCCAGGAAAAGUCUCUAAGCUUCAGUUACACAGGAAUCGUACCCGAAACCGACACAGGUGGUCAGGUCGAGUAGACCAAGGCGCUUGAGAGAACUCUGCUGAAGGAACUAGGCAAAAUGGUACCGUAACUUCGGGAGAAGGUACGCUGUUGUUGGUGAUGGAACUCGCUUCCUGAGCUGACGACAGCCGCAGAAACCAGGCCGCUGCAACUGUUUAUUAAAAACAUAGCACUCUGCAAACACGAAAGUGGACGUAUAGGGUGUGAUGCCUGCCCGGUGCUGGAAGGUUAAUUGAUGGGGUUAGCGUAAGCGAAGCUCUUGAUCGAAGCCCCAGUAAACGGCGGCCGUAACUAUAACGGUCCUAAGGUAGCGAAAUUCCUUGUCGGGUAAGUUCCGACCUGCACGAAUGGCAUAAUGAUGGCGGCGCUGUCUCCAGCAGAGGCUCAGUGAAAUCGAAAUCGCUGUGAAGAUGCAGUGUACCCGCGGCUAGACGGAAAGACCCCGUGAACCUUUACUGCAGCUUGACACUGAACUUUGACCUUACUUGUGUAGGAUAGGUUGGGAGGCUUUGAAGCUGGAACGCUAGUUCCAGUGGAGCCGUCCUUGAAAUACCACCCUGGUAAUGUUGAGGUUCUAACUCUGUCCCGUGAUCCGGGACGAGGACCGUGUCUGGUGGGUAGUUUGACUGGGGCGGUCUCCUCCUAAAGAGUAACGGAGGAGUACGAAGGUGCGCUCAGCGUGGUCGGAAAUCACGCGUAGAGUAUAAAGGCAAAAGCGCGCUUAACUGCGAGACCCACAAGUCGAGCAGGUACGAAAGUAGGUCUUAGUGAUCCGGUGGUUCUGUAUGGAAGGGCCAUCGCUCAACGGAUAAAAGGUACUCUGGGGAUAACAGGCUGAUACCGCCCAAGAGUUCAUAUCGACGGCGGUGUUUGGCACCUCGAUGUCGGCUCAUCUCAUCCUGGGGCUGAAGCAGGUCCCAAGGGUAUGGCUGUUCGCCAUUUAAAGAGGUACGCGAGCUGGGUUUAGAACGUCGUGAGACAGUUCGGUCCCUAUCUACCGUGGGCGCUGGAAAUUUGAGAGGAUCUGCUCCUAGUACGAGAGGACCAGAGUGGACGAACCUCUGGUGUACCGGUUGUGACGCCAGUCGCAUCGCCGGGUAGCUAUGUUCGGAAGGGAUAACCGCUGAAAGCAUCUAAGCGGGAAGCCUACCUCAAGAUAAGAUUUCCCUAGGACUUUAUGUCCUCUAAAGAGCCGUUCGAGACUAGGACGUUGAUAGGUUGGAUGUGGAAGCAUAGUGAUAUGUGAAGCUGACCAAUACUAAUUGCUCGUGAGGCUUGACUAUACAACACCCAAGCAGUUG